This is a long non-coding RNA of Phalaenopsis equestris, 282 nucleotides long. RefSeq lists it as uncharacterized. The record is from RefSeq and is a predicted model, not a curated record. Lineage: Eukaryota; Viridiplantae; Streptophyta; Magnoliopsida; Asparagales; Orchidaceae. The transcript is spliced from 3 exons.
GUUUGAGUGGAAGGAGGAGAUCAAGAAACCUGGUAGGAAGAAUGAGAAGUCUGCCAUUUUUUUUACAGAAGCUUAAGGUGGAUGAGCAGUCUCUAGAUCUCCAAUGAUUGUUCACUGAAUUUUGUUCCAACAUAUGGGCAACCUUAAGAUCUUCAAGACCAUUAGCAGUCUCUUGUAAUGAUGCUUCCGUAACUGAUAAAGAAGCUGUCCAACCAUGUUGCUUAAAGAAAACAAGUGCACAAUUGUUGCCGCCGAAAGCCAUCAUUCUAAGUUGCGCAGGAU